CCAGGUCAGUGGAAUGUGUCGUCUAGUCGUGUUCUGCAGAUCGACCCAAAGACGGGAGCUGCCCUGGCAAAGCAUUCUGGAACGGUAGUGGUCUACUACAGACUGGAAGGAGGACAGCAGGCCCUCAGAGAGGUGAAGGUGGAGUCUCCAGCCAUCCCAGAACUCUAUCCCCCUGAGGAUCGUUUCCUCACCAACUGGCCUGACGCACCUGACUACACUGUUCCUGUGGAGCUAUACACCUCCCCCGUCAACACAGCCCAGUGUUCCCUGUUCCAGAGGGAGGCCAUAGAGAAGCUGCAGCCAGAGGCAGAGUUAUGGUGUUCCCUGCACUUCAGCGCCCCCUACCUCCAGCUCAACACACUGCAGGCUGUGAUCGUCGCCACACCUCACUAUGACCUCGACACAGGUGAAUACAGCUGCAGAGUCUCCGUCCGUCCCCAGUCAGACUCCGUCCUCCACCUCCUCUCCUCUCUCUCUCUCUCCGUCUCUCUCUCAGCCUCUCUGCGGGGCCAGUCCCCCAUCCCUAUCCUUCCUCUCUCUGCUCUGUCGCUACCUCUCUCCGGACGUUUGGUACAGUUGCCGUACCUGCCUGCGUUCCACUGCCCGGUGUCUUUCCUGGUGCUCU
Molecule: long non-coding RNA, 625 nt
Organism: Coregonus clupeaformis (lake whitefish)
Lineage: Eukaryota; Metazoa; Chordata; Actinopteri; Salmoniformes; Salmonidae
Exons: 4
Source: RefSeq, a predicted model, not a curated record